UGGGGAAUCUUGCGCAAUGGACGAAAGUCUGACGCAGCAACGCCGCGUGUAGGAUGAAGCCUCUAGGGGUGUAAACUACUGUCAGCAGGGAAGAAAUUGACUGUACCUGCAGAGGAAGCACCGGCUAACUCCGUGCCAGCAGCCGCGGUAAGACGGAGGGUGCAAGCGUUGUCCGGAAUUAUUGGGCGUAAAGAGUUCGUAGGCGGUUAUUUAAGUCUGAUGUUAAAGCCCGAAGCUUAACUUCGGCAUGGCAUUGGAAACUGGAUGACUAGAGUGCGGUAGAGGUAUCGGGAAUUCCAGGUGUAGCGGUGAAAUGCGUAGAGAUCUGAAGGAACACCAGUGGCGAAGGCGGCUCCCUGGACUCAAACUGACGCUGAGGUACGAAAGCGUGGGUAGCAAACAGGAUUAGAUACCCCAGUAGUCCCUGAGCGGGCUGGCAAGGCGCAU
RNAcentral lists this ribosomal RNA (447 nucleotides) under uncultured bacterium. Its description in RNAcentral is "bacterial SSU rRNA". It matches the Rfam family "Bacterial small subunit ribosomal RNA", at positions 355 to 825 of the family's 1533-position model. The record is from RNAcentral.